RNAcentral lists this ribosomal RNA (426 nucleotides) under Vibrio cholerae. RNAcentral describes it as "partial 23S ribosomal RNA". It matches the Rfam family "Bacterial large subunit ribosomal RNA", at positions 1 to 470 of the family's 2925-position model. Lineage: Bacteria; Pseudomonadati; Pseudomonadota; Gammaproteobacteria; Vibrionales; Vibrionaceae. The record is from RNAcentral.
GUUGUAUGGUUAAGUGACUAAGCGUACACGGUGGAUGCCUGGGCAGUCAGAGGCGAUGAAGGACGUACUAACUUGCGAUAAGCGCAGAUAAGGCAGUAAGAGCCGUUUGAGUCUGCGAUUUCCGAAUGGGGAAACCCAACUGCAUAAGCAGUUACUGUUAACUGAAUACAUAGGUUAACAGAGCAAACCGGGGGAACUGAAACAUCUAAGUACCCCGAGGAGAAGAAAUCAACCGAGAUUCCGGUAGUAGCGGCGAGCGAACCUGGAUUAGCCCUUAAGCACUCGGUGAAGUAGGUGAACAAGCUGGAAAGCUUGGCGAUACAGGGUGAUAGCCCCGUAACCGACGCUUCAUCGAGCGUGAAAUCGAGUAGGGCGGGACACGUGAUAUCCUGUCUGAAUAUGGGGGGACCAUCCUCCAAGGCUAAA